Molecule: long non-coding RNA, 451 nt
Organism: Diceros bicornis minor
Lineage: Eukaryota; Metazoa; Chordata; Mammalia; Perissodactyla; Rhinocerotidae
Exons: 3
Source: RefSeq, a predicted model, not a curated record
CAGAUAAUCGGGAUCUUCUGGGUUUGGAGGUUUACAACAUAAAAGAGUGAAUAAGAGGAAAAGAAGGAUGAUAGUCACGUCUUCACAGAGGAAGAAGCGUGACUGUGGGAACCAGUCUAAACCAAAGCCUGGUUUAAGCAUCUCCAUCCCUUUGAGGCUGUCCAGUGACAUAUUCGAGAGGCCAGUUACUAGAAUCCUAUCCCAUCCUGGCAAUGACAAAUCUCUGGGAGGACACCUUGGACCAGCCCCACCAGGUCUGCUGGCCCGAGAGACUGCAAGGACUCCAGGCCUGCAGCAGUGCAAGACAACUGAUCACGUGACGUGCUUCUCAGGACAGGAGGAGCCGCCUCAAGGGAAGACAGAUCUUCUCCAGGAGCUGAAGUUCAUCCAAGGAGAGCAGAGUCUAGGGCUGCAGAGCGCCACUGCUCUCCAUCUCAGGGACACGUCGGUC